This 505-nucleotide ribosomal RNA is filed under the name uncultured bacterium. Its description in RNAcentral is "partial 16S ribosomal RNA". It matches the Rfam family "Bacterial small subunit ribosomal RNA", at positions 28 to 507 of the family's 1533-position model. The record is from RNAcentral.
GACGAACGCUGGCGGCGUGCCUAAUACAUGCAAGUAGAACGCACAGUUUAUACCGUAGCUUGCUACACCAUAGACUGUGAGUUGCGAACGGGUGAGUAACGCGUAGGUAACCUGCCUGGUAGCGGGGGAUAACUAUUGGAAACGAUAGCUAAUACCGCAUAAUAUUAAUUAUUGCAUGAUGAUUAAUUGAAAGGUGCAAUUGCACCACUACCAGAUGGACCUGCGUUGUAUUAGCUAGUAGGUGAGGUAACGGCUCACCUAGGCGACGAUACAUAGCCGACCUGAGAGGGUGAUCGGCCACACUGGGACUGAGACACGGCCCAGACUCCUACGGGAGGCAGCAGUAGGGAAUCUUCGGCAAUGGACGAAAGUCUGACCGAGCAACGCCGCGUGAGUGAAGAAGGUUUUCGGAUCGUAAAGCUCUGUUGUAAGAGAAGAACGGGUGUGAGAGUGGAAAGUUCACACUGUGACGGCAUCUUACCAGAAAGGGACGGCUAACUACGUG